UGCUGCGGCCCGGUCACUCUUUACUUCCUGAAUAAAGAAGAUGAAGGCGCCAUGUAUUGAUCCCGGGUUUCGAGAACUGUCACUGGGGGUUUGGUCGCAACACAAGACUGAUAAAAUGUUUUUUAAUUACCACGCUAUAAAUACAGCUCUCCCUUGGAGUGGCCCAUUCGCUCGCUGCAGCUUAUUUGAUUUCUGAUAAUGGAGACUGCUGACUUUGCUUACCUGUUUUUCGAUAAGUGGAGGUAACGUGACUCCUUGUCUAUAUAGCGAUGGGCAGCUCUCCUUGGAGAAUCUCUUUGACAAACUACUCUAUUGAUUCGGUACAAUUCGACACCGUUUGCAGCAUUAAUAGCAACUAGAUUCUUGCUCAGUGCUCUCACAGUGUAACAAUUAAGCAAACGUAGAAUUUUCUUUUAUCACAUGAAAAUCAAUGGAUCUCCAGUGCUUCAGGAGCUGAUCAUGGUGAAGGAUGAACUUGGAAGAUGGCUGAGGGCAGAGUUCAGAUAUAAUAAUGGGCUUGUUUGUGUGACCUGUUGUAUUGAAACAGAAGGUGCAUUGUUCAGUUGACACGAGGCGCCCCACGUAUGGCUGAUACAAUAGAUUGAUUUCUACUGGGAACUAAUUGGGUAGGUACCCUGAAAACACCCAUCCUUGGGACUGUUUUGCUGAGUGAAGAAAAUACUCUAAACAGAUACUUAUUUUUAUUAUUUCAAUUUAUAUGACUGCCCAUCUCAGAUGCAAGACGCUGGGUGGCUAACAAAAACGAUACAAAAAUACAGAACAAUAUAAAAAAAAUGCGCAAAUCCAGGCAGCAGCUGGGGUAAAAAAAACAAGAAGACAUCAGUGCAGCCAUUGCACCAGCUCUGCCACCCAUCCAGGUCCCCAAGCCCAGUGGCAAAGGCCUUGCAGAAAGCUAGUGGGGUCGGGACCAAUCUGAUCUCCGGGGGGGACGAUCUUCCAAAGGGCAGAUGCUCUCCUCCUGGGCCCCACCAGGUGACGGGGCCCAGAGCAGCCUCUCCUGCCCGGCCUGGUGGGUUGGGCAGACGCACGAAUCGGGGAGAGGCGACACGCUAGCAGCAUUCAAGUGCCUGAAGGGCUGGGGCUGUUCUCUUGUUCCAGCGUGAAGGACAUGGAGUGAGGGUUGCGAGCGAGAGAGAGGCCAAUUCCGGUUAGAUCUCUGGGACAAUUCCAAACGGUAAGAGGAAAAAACGAGUGAUGAAGACAGUGAGCUUUCCUUCAAGCAGAAGCCAAGGGGUUCUUUUUCAGGCAUGGCUUCGUUUGGACUCCAGCCCUGGCCAGGAGUUGGCACCUUCCUGCUGGAGGGCUCUGUCAGUCUAGAAGUUCCUCCUCUGACUUGUUCGUUGCGCCCCAGAAACAGGAGCCACCAUCGGAAGCCUGAUGUGUCCUUGACUCCCAAUUCCCAGGAAGUGUAAGACUGGAUUCCCUGUUUGCACUUAAGUCACGGUGAUGUGUGUGAGUUGCCACCACUGGUAGUAGUCCCGCAGGAGUGGUCAAGCAUGAUGACCAACAAGUGUGCUAAUUCAGAGAGGCCCUUCGAAAUCGUAUUUUUGGUACUUCGUUUCUUGAGAAGAAAUCUCAGCAAAACCCGUCGUCAUUCAUGAGUGAUGAAAGCGCUUUUCAAAUACUGGGAAACCUAAUACUGUAAGGUUUCAUUUCCACGAAGAAUAACAAAGAAGCUGGAUAAUUCAGUAUAGUCAGGCUCACCAUCAAUAACCUGCAUGAACAUUUGUAUAUUAUGGUAUUUAUUGUAAACUGUCUGGAGCCCUGGGAAAGGGUGGUAUACAAAGGUUUGUAAUAAAUGAAACGCAUCCUGCAUAAUUGGCAACUUGGAUUUCACUGUUUUGUUUACAUUAGCAUUUUAUGAUAUAAACAUAAUUAUGCUAUGUUUAUGAAAAGAAUAAACCAUCAUCCGCCAAUCAAAGUCCUGUUAAGUAUCUCUUGAGGGAUUGGAGCACAUGGCCUUUGAAUUGUAUGUUUCUGUCAUCUGUAAUAGACAAAUGCAUAAAAAAUUCAAUGGUGUAUGA
This is a non-coding RNA of Python bivittatus (Burmese python), 2045 nucleotides long. NCBI's taxonomy places the organism in Eukaryota, Metazoa, Chordata, Lepidosauria, Squamata, Pythonidae. The record is from RefSeq and is a predicted model, not a curated record.